RNAcentral lists this ribosomal RNA (402 nucleotides) under uncultured bacterium. Its description in RNAcentral is "bacterial SSU rRNA". It matches the Rfam family "Bacterial small subunit ribosomal RNA", at positions 30 to 418 of the family's 1533-position model. The record is from RNAcentral.
AGUGAACGCUGGCGGCAGGCCUAACACAUGCAAGUCGAGCGGCAGCGCGUCCGACCACCCUCGGGUGGUCGGAUGGCGGCGAGCGGCGGACGGGUGAGGAAUGCAUCGGAAUCUGCCUCGUUGUGGGGGAUAACGUAGGGAAACUUACGCUAAUACCGCAUACGACCUACGGGUGAAAGUGGGGGACCUUCGGGCCUCACGCGAUGAGAUGAGCCGAUGCCGGAUUAGCUAGUUGGCGGGGUAAAGGCCCACCAAGGCGACGAUCCGUAGCUGGUCUGAGAGGAUGAUCAGCCACACUGGAACUGAGACACGGUCCAGACUCCUACGGGAGGCAGCAGUGGGGAAUAUUGGACAAUGGGGGCAACCCUGAUCCAGCCAUGCCGCGUGUGUGAAGAAGGCCUU